AGUGAACGCUGGCGGUAGGCCUAACACAUGCAAGUCGAACGGCAGCACAGUAAGAGCUUGCUCUUACGGGUGGCGAGUGGCGGACGGGUGAGGAAUACAUCGGAAUCUACUUUUUCGUGGGGGAUAACGUAGGGAAACUUACGCUAAUACCGCAUACGACCUACGGGUGAAAUCAGGGGAUCUUCGGACCUUUCGCGAUUGAAUGAGCCGAUGUCGGAUUAGCUAGUUGGCGGGGUAAAGGCCCACCAAGGCGACGAUCCGUAGCUGGUCUGAGAGGAUGAUCAGCCACACGGGAACUGAGACACGGUCCAGACUCCUACGGGAGGCAGCAGUGUGGAAUAUUGGACAAUGGGCGCAAGCCUGAUCCAGCCAUACCGCGUGUGUGAAGAAGGCCUUCGGGUUGUAAAGCCCUUUUGUUGGGAAAGAAAAGCAGCAGGUUAAUACCCCGCUGUUCUGACGGUACCCAAAGAAUAAGCACCGGCUAACUUCGUG
This 492-nucleotide ribosomal RNA is filed under the name uncultured bacterium. Its description in RNAcentral is "partial 16S ribosomal RNA". It matches the Rfam family "Bacterial small subunit ribosomal RNA", at positions 29 to 507 of the family's 1533-position model. The record is from RNAcentral.